Non-coding RNA from Podarcis lilfordi (Lilford's wall lizard), 77 nucleotides. Lineage: Eukaryota; Metazoa; Chordata; Lepidosauria; Squamata; Lacertidae. The record is from the annotation of a GenBank genome assembly.
GCUUCCUGGGAUGGCUCAGUCAGUAGAACAUGAGACUGUUAAUUUCAGGGUUGUGGGUUCAAGCCCUGUGUUGGGCA